Molecule: ribosomal RNA, 253 nt
Filed under: uncultured bacterium
Lineage: Bacteria
Description: partial 16S ribosomal RNA
Rfam family: Bacterial small subunit ribosomal RNA
Source: RNAcentral
UACGGAGGGGGCUAGCGUUAUUCGGAAUUACUGGGCGUAAAGCGCACGUAGGCGGCUUUGUAAGUAAGAGGUGAAAGCCCGGAGCUCAACUCCGGAACUGCCUUUUAGACUGCAUCGCUUGAAUCCAGGAGAGGUGAGUGGAAUUCCGAGUGUAGAGGUGAAAUUCGUAGAUAUUCGGAAGAACACCAGUGGCGAAGGCGGCUCACUGGACUGGUAUUGACGCUGAGGAGCGAAAGCAUGGGGAGCGAACAGG